This 24-nucleotide non-coding RNA is filed under the name Cricetulus griseus (Chinese hamster). Lineage: Eukaryota; Metazoa; Chordata; Mammalia; Rodentia; Cricetidae. The record is from RNAcentral.
UGUAUGAGAAACUCUUUGAGCACC